This 303-nucleotide ribosomal RNA is filed under the name uncultured bacterium. Its description in RNAcentral is "partial 16S ribosomal RNA". It matches the Rfam family "Bacterial small subunit ribosomal RNA", at positions 507 to 809 of the family's 1533-position model. The record is from RNAcentral.
AGCAGUAGCCGCGGUAAUACGGAGGAUCCAAGCGUUAUCCGGAAUCAUUGGGUUUAAAGGGUCCGUAGGCGGUCUUGUAAGUCAGUGGUGAAAGCACAUCGCUCAACGGUGGAUCGGCCAUUGAUACUGCAGGACUUGAAUUAUUGGGAAGUAACUAGAAUAUGUAGUGUAGCGGUGAAAUGCUUAGAGAUUACAUGGAAUACCAAUUGCGAAGGCAGGUUACUACCAAUUGAUUGACGCUGAUGGACGAAAGCGUGGGUAGCGAACAGGAUUAGAUACCCCGGUAGUCCCUGUCUCUUAUAA